GAUCUCCCUGAGAGAGACAGUGUGAGUGGAGGGGAGGUGAGGGGGAAGAAGGGAGGGAGUAAGUCAGCCAAUGAACAACCAUUACACAACAGAGUCGAGCCCAGAUGGUGAAGAGGAAGGGAGAUUGAAGGAAUGGGAUGUGGAGAUGACUUGUUUCAGCCGAAGUGAGAAUGAGAUGACAAAGAUGGGAUACAAAGACACAAAACAUAAGGUGAACUAUUGCAUGGAUUACCAUAAACCUUUGUGCAGAUGUUCAUUCAUGGUCCCAGAGGAUGAAGCCUACUGCCUUUGCUCCAGCACCACUCUGUCCAGCCCGCUACGCACAGCUCGGAUCAGAACCACAGACCCAUCCGGGCCACACCACUCCGCUGACUGCAAUG
This is a long non-coding RNA of Monopterus albus (swamp eel), 380 nucleotides long. RefSeq lists it as uncharacterized. The record is from RefSeq and is a predicted model, not a curated record. The transcript is spliced from 3 exons. NCBI's taxonomy places the organism in Eukaryota, Metazoa, Chordata, Actinopteri, Synbranchiformes, Synbranchidae.